GGCAUUGUCGGACCAAUAAUUGCUUAAAUUAAGCACUUGAAACUAUUGAUUACAGAAAAGUAGUAGUAACAUUUUCAUAUCCAUUGCCUUGAUACUUAGCUUGAUGUGCAAUGAAAUAGUAGAUCUUAGCCAAACUACAAUUGAUUCAAUACAAAUACAUAAAUUUCACUAAAUAACAAUAAAUACUUAUUCAAACCGAAUGCUAUUUACUUCAAUUAUUAUUAUUAUACUCCGAUUAUUCAAAGCAACUCUGCGAUCGUACCAAAGCUCGUCUACUCACCGUAUUUGAUGUAGGCGAAUCCAAGGUCUUGAGCAGCAACUGCUUCACUGCUGAUAUCAAUUCACCUGUCGGAUUGGGAGGCAAACUCUUUGCUCUGAAUUUCUUGCAAAAUGUCAUGUGUCGAUUCAAAGCUUCAUCUCUUCCAAUCCUUCUGGAUCUCACCAUUUCAUCCUUCACAGCCUCUGCACACAGUCCGCAUAUCCAUCGCCCUUCAUUCCGGUCCCGAACUCUCGCUAUGUAAGACUCUGUACAUUCCUCUGUCAAUCCACAACACGCGCACUUUACAAAUUGGAUCUCACUUUCCAUUCCACUCACCUCUUUCAAAUGCUACAAUUAAUUGAAUAGAUAUAAAUCAAUCUUCGAAAAGAAAUAUUAUCCCACUCGCCUUCUUCUUCAACAAUUUCUCCACCGCUGAUAAAUACCUUGAAUAUCAUAUACAUUUCACACCCUCCCUUGAUUGGCUUUUUUCUAAAUCACCUAAGACCAAAC
This 769-nucleotide unclassified non-coding RNA is filed under the name Hevea brasiliensis (rubber tree). Lineage: Eukaryota; Viridiplantae; Streptophyta; Magnoliopsida; Malpighiales; Euphorbiaceae. The record is from RNAcentral.